UAUUUCAAUCAAAUUUUAUAGGCAUGAAGCAUUACAAGUUAUAUUUAGGAAAGAUCUUUGUUAUUUGAAUAUUGAAAACACAUAAUUCAAAAUAUCAUGUCACAUACAAAACAUAAUAUGCAUUAAGUCAUAACAUCAUGUAUUAAAACAUUAAGAGCAAGCAUGUCAAGGAUCAAAAUUUAUUCUUUUCAAAUAAACUCUCCUUAUUUAUAUAUAAUUCUACACUGAUUUUAUCCUUAAGGUGUGUUUUCAAGUGAUCGAAACUUUAUUUGGCUUUUCACAAGCUUUUUAUAUACUUUCAUUUAUCUUGUCAUUCAUUUCCUCAUUUUUGAAUUUCUUCCUUUAACCACUUAGUGAACAUUCUAAUCUUCAUUUCUUUUGGUUUUACUUUUCUAUGCUCUAUACUCUAUUUGCUCCCUAUCCGGUGGAGUUGGAAGGGGCACGAGGUACUACCACUAGCCUCCCUCUUGUGCCGUCCCUAAUCUGCCCUACACCGAAUAGUUGGGUCAAA
This 511-nucleotide long non-coding RNA is filed under the name Phoenix dactylifera (date palm). RNAcentral's name for it is "long non-coding RNA (PDAC_LNC022367)". The record is from RNAcentral. Lineage: Eukaryota; Viridiplantae; Streptophyta; Magnoliopsida; Arecales; Arecaceae.